RNAcentral lists this ribosomal RNA (209 nucleotides) under uncultured Anaerolineaceae bacterium. RNAcentral describes it as "partial 16S ribosomal RNA". It matches the Rfam family "Bacterial small subunit ribosomal RNA", at positions 568 to 774 of the family's 1533-position model. The record is from RNAcentral. Lineage: Bacteria; Bacillati; Chloroflexota; Anaerolineae; Anaerolineales; Anaerolineaceae.
CACGCAGGCGGUUCGAUAAGUUGGAUGUGAAAAGCUCCUGGCUUAACUGGGAGAGGUCGUUCAAUACUAUCGGACUUGAGGAUGAGAGAGGGAGGUGGAAGUUCCGGGUGUAGUGGUGGAAUGCGUAGAUAUUCGGAGGAACACCAGUGGCGAAAGCGGCCUCCUGGCUCAUAACUGACGCUCAUGUGCGAAAGCUAGGGUAGCAAACG